GGGCCGCAUAGACCCGCCUUCCUGGGCCCCUAGGACAAGCCUCCCUGGGCCGCAUAGACCCGCCUCCCUGGGCCCCUAGGACAAGCCUCCCUGGGCCGCAUAGACCCGCCUUCCUGGGCCUUUAGACCCGCCUCCCUGGGCCGCAUAGACCCGCCUCCCUGGAACCGUAAACCCGCCUCCCUGGGCCGUGUAGAACCGCCUUCCUGGGCCCGUAGACCCGCCUCCCUGGGCCGCAUAGACCCGCCUCCCUGGGCCCGUAAACCCGCCUCCCUGGGCCGUGUAGAACCGCCUUCCUGGGCCAGUAGACCCGCCUCCCUGGGCCGCAUAGUCCCGCCUCCCUGGGCCCGUAAACCCGCCUCCCUGGGCCGUGUAGACCCGCCUCCCUGGGCCGUGUAUACCGGUCUCCCUGGGACCUGUAGACCGGUCUCUCUGGACCGUGUUGACUUGUCUCCCUGGGACCUGUGGACCGCUCUCUCUGAGACCUGUCGACCUGUGUCCCAUUGCCAUUGUUCCUGCGCUUCUAAACCAAUGGUUCAUUUGGGAUUAUGAGGGUUUAUCAAAACCCCAGAAGGAGCAGUACCUCAAAGAUAGGAGGGAUGCAUUGACCCCAACAGCUGUGGUGAUCAAUACUCCCCCCCCCCCCCCCCCCCUUGUAUUGGAAGGUCCUCUCAGGCACAGAUUGUGUAUAUUGGCGUAUUUAUCCGUUCAGGGUCGAUGGGGGCGUCGUUGUAAGUCCGCUGGCUUGUGAUGGUGCUGGAGGGGCUCAGCUCACCAGCCUGACCCCGUGUUGUUGAGGUGUGUGUGUGUGUGUGUGUGUGUGUGUGUGUGUCCCCCCCUAAAAUGGGGGGGGCUCACAUAAUUAAUACUAGUUACUGUGAGAGACCAAACAUGUGUAUGUGUGCGCAUUAGGGAUGGGCAAAAUGAUUCUUUUCCGGGAACUAGUUCUUUCAGUUCAGUUCACUAUAACGAUUCGUUUAUUUGAUUCGGUCGUUUUGAUUCGUUCGUUACGUCAGAUUACAUCUUAAAAAAAAUAAAAAAUAAAAAUAUAUUAUUUUUUUUAAUUGGUCAUGGGUCCGGAUAGGACCGUCAAGACCGCAGUCCGCCGUUUGGAGAUGCCUGCUAUAUAGUAUAUCGAACGUCCCACCAAUAUUUAUACCACUUGCUUACUCUCUAUAUUUCAUUCAUGGUUUUACAUUUAUAAUUUUAUUUUACUUUACAUUUAAUUCUUCAUUGUUCAGGCAUUACAGAACUUGCAUGGUCAUAAAUAAAAAAUACGAACUGCA
Long non-coding RNA from Gadus macrocephalus (Pacific cod), 1283 nucleotides. RefSeq lists it as uncharacterized. The record is from RefSeq and is a predicted model, not a curated record. The transcript is spliced from 2 exons. NCBI's taxonomy places the organism in Eukaryota, Metazoa, Chordata, Actinopteri, Gadiformes, Gadidae.